AAAAAGUCGAUGACCUGGUAAGUGGCGGAAGUGACCGUCCAUAUUGGUUCC
RNAcentral lists this small RNA (51 nucleotides) under Caenorhabditis elegans. RNAcentral describes it as "Unclassified non-coding RNA ZC513.15". Lineage: Eukaryota; Metazoa; Nematoda; Chromadorea; Rhabditida; Rhabditidae. The record is from RNAcentral.